RNAcentral lists this ribosomal RNA (902 nucleotides) under Seiridium unicorne. Its description in RNAcentral is "LSU rRNA". It matches the Rfam family "Eukaryotic large subunit ribosomal RNA", at positions 38 to 966 of the family's 3401-position model. The record is from RNAcentral. Lineage: Eukaryota; Fungi; Ascomycota; Sordariomycetes; Amphisphaeriales; Sporocadaceae.
GCAUAUCAAUAAGCGGAGGAAAAGAAACCAACAGGGAUUGCCCUAGUAACGGCGAGUGAAGCGGCAACAGCUCAAAUUUGAAAUCUGGCCCUUGGGUCCGAAUUGUAAUUUGUAGAGGAUGAUUUUGGUGCGGUAUCUUCCGAGUUCCUUGGAACAGGACGCCUUAGAGGGUGAGAGCCCCGUACGGUUGAAUGCCUAGCCUCUGUAAAUCUCCUUCGACGAGUCGAGUAGUUUGGGAAUGCUGCUCUAAAUGGGAGGUAAAUUUCUUCUAAAGCUAAAUACUGGCCAGAGACCGAUAGCGCACAAGUAGAGUGAUCGAAAGAUGAAAAGCACUUUGAAAAGAGGGUUAAAUAGCACGUGAAAUUGUUGAAAGGGAAGGAUUUAUGACCAGACUUUUUCUGGGCGGAUCAUCCGGUGUUCUCACCGGUGCACUUUGCCCAGUUUAGGCCAGCAUCGAUUUUCGGAGAGGGAUAAAAGCUUUGGGAAUGUGGCUCCUCCGGGAGUGUUAUAGCCCAUUGUAUAAUACCUUUCUGGGGAUCGAGGUACGCGCUUCUGCAAGGAUGCUGGCGUAAUGGUUAUCAAUCACCCGUCUUGAAACACGGACCAAGGAGUCGAACAUUUGUGCAAGUGUUUGGGUGUUAAACCCUCACGCGUAAUGAAAGUGAACGGAGGUGAGAGCCCUUACGGGUGCAUCAUCGACCGAUCCUGAAGUUUUCGGAUGGAUUUGAGUAAGAGCAUAACUGUUCGGACCCGAAAGAUGGUGAACUAUGCGUGGAUAGGGUGAAGCCAGAGGAAACUCUGGUGGAGGCUCGCAGCGGUUCUGACGUGCAAAUCGAUCGUCAAAUCUGCGCAUGGGGGGCGAAAGACUAAUCGAACCAUCUAGUAGCUGGUUACCGCCGAAG